RNAcentral lists this ribosomal RNA (551 nucleotides) under Vittaforma corneae. RNAcentral describes it as "SSU rRNA". It matches the Rfam family "Microsporidia small subunit ribosomal RNA", at positions 46 to 629 of the family's 1311-position model. The record is from RNAcentral. Lineage: Eukaryota; Fungi; Microsporidia; Nosematidae.
AGCCAUGCAUGUUUCCGCAAUCAGGGACGAAUAGCUCAGUAAAACUGCGAUGAUUUAGUCUGGCUGUGUAGAUAACUACGUGAAAAUGUAGCUAAGGGAAGGCAGAAUAAGACGCAGGACUAUCAGUUAGUUGGUAGUGUAAUGGACUACCAAGACAGUGACGGUUGACGGGAAAUUAGGGUUUUGUACCGGAGAGGGAGCCUGAGAGAUUGCUCCCACGUCCAAGGACGGCAGCAGGCGCGAAAAUUGCCCACUCUUUGCAGGAGGCAGUUAUGAGACGUGAAGAUGAGUAUCUUGUAAAGAGGGAUAGGAGAAUUGGAGGGCAAGUUUGGUGCCAGCAGCCGCGGUAAUACCGACUCCAAGAGUGUGUAUGAGAGAUGCUGCAGUUAAAAAGUCCGUAGUCAUAGAAGGGCAAAGAGAGAUGCGAGGUCUCACAGUGCGAUGAUGGAGGAGCCGAUGGGGAACAUAGUAUACCAGGGCGAGAGAUGAAAUGCCAAGACCCCUGGUGGACUGAGCGAGGCGAAGGCGAUGUUCUUGUAGGCAUUCGGUGA